Molecule: long non-coding RNA, 533 nt
Filed under: Salvator merianae (Argentine black and white tegu)
Lineage: Eukaryota; Metazoa; Chordata; Lepidosauria; Squamata; Teiidae
Description: lncRNA (ENSSMRG00000001416.1)
Source: RNAcentral
CACUGAGCCUGGCUCGUNUAAAAUGGAGGGGAAAGCAAAUGCCAGGGCAAGCCAAUGCUUCGCUUCUCCCUCCUAAGAAGCCAAGAAGCCUUCACCUGGCCCAGCAACCAUGGGCCCCUCUCAGGCACAGCAUCCCUAGGUUGGGCCUUGGAACCACAGACAGAAUCGUCGAAUGGAAUGGUGGGGCUGAACAGAGGACAAGGGCCAUCUCGUCCAAUGCAGAUGCAUGAAGACCUUCAGGGAAAGGAAACACCUCACCCAGCCCCAUCCCAAUUCAGCAGCUAUCUAAAGAUGACAAGCCGAGGAAGGAACGCGGCUGGAAGGACACGUCAAGUUAAGCCGACUUCAAGCCCGCUGGAACCCGCCCUGCUUCGUCUGAACUACUUUGUUAAUUAUUGCAGGAACGUUCACUGGGUUGCUCUAAUUGAAACUCGAAUAGCGAUUCCGAUCCAACAACAGCUUUAACACUCGGGAUUUACUUCCAGGGGUAGGAUGUGUGAGCUCUAUUAAUAAUCAUAAAAAUCCUGCUAACC